GCCGAUGUGGCGGAAUGGCAGACGCACCGCACUCAAAAUGCGAUGGGCAUUGCUCGUGCCGGUUCAAGUCCGGCCAUCGGUACCA
RNAcentral lists this transfer RNA (85 nucleotides) under Oscillospiraceae bacterium. RNAcentral describes it as "tRNA-Leu". It matches the Rfam family "tRNA". From Rfam's summary of the family: Transfer RNA (tRNA) molecules are approximately 80 nucleotides in length. Lineage: Bacteria; Bacillati; Bacillota; Clostridia; Eubacteriales; Oscillospiraceae. The record is from RNAcentral.